UACCGAGGGUGCAAGCGUUGUUCGGAAUUAUUUGGCGUAAAGCGCGUUUAGGCGGCUUGUUAAGUCGGGUGUUAAAGCCCUCAGCUCAACUGAGGAAGUGCGCCCGAAACUGGCGAGCUUGAGUGUCGGAGAGGAUGGCGGAAUACCCCAAGUAGAGGUGAAAUUCGUAGAUAUGGGGUGGAACACCGGUGGCGAAGGCGGCCAUCUGGACGACAACUGACGCUGAGACGCGAAAGCGUGGGGAGCAAACAGG
Molecule: ribosomal RNA, 253 nt
Filed under: uncultured bacterium
Lineage: Bacteria
Description: partial 16S ribosomal RNA
Rfam family: Bacterial small subunit ribosomal RNA
Source: RNAcentral